This 576-nucleotide long non-coding RNA is filed under the name Fukomys damarensis (Damara mole-rat). Its description in RNAcentral is "lncRNA (ENSFDAG00000024541.1)". Lineage: Eukaryota; Metazoa; Chordata; Mammalia; Rodentia; Bathyergidae. The record is from RNAcentral.
CAGAGCCCCGGGCUCCCGGGCGCCUGGCCGCGAGAGCCCCCGCGCUGCCUUUGCCCCUUCCUGAGCCGCAGUCCCCUCUCCCUCCGCCGCCGACCCUACCAUACCCGUUCGCGGUCCCUAUUAGCUUGUAACUAACUUAACACUUAAGCCUUUGCCCUCCGGCUCAGCUCCUUAAAGCUUCCUGAUUCCCAAACUUUUAUGGUAAUUACGGACCACCGCUCAGUCCCUAACGCCUGUGCCCUCCAGGAUGCCAGGGACCCCGGCCGCGCGUCCCCUCCAGACACCCGCUGCCCGAGACCCCGUCGAUAGGCUUGCAGAAAGCAAACCAGGAAGUCAGGGCUGCUGCCGCUGCCCCCGCCGCAGUAGCUCCACGUGGCUGAUUUAUAGCUGGAACGAUUUUUUAUUAUUAUUAUUGAUCUGGGGUUUUUUUUCACAGUGUUCCCUAAGGAGGUGGAUUUGUAACGGAAAGGCCCAGGAGAUUGCUUUUCUUCCUGUGAGAUCUCAGGAAAGGAUAAUGCUUGACCAGGUCUCCCCCCACCUGCGCCCAAAUGUUGUGCCUGUUACCUCCUAACAAAG